ACCCGUUCCCAUCCCGAACACGGAAGUCAAGACCUCUCGCGCCAAUGGUACUGCGUUCGUCGCGGGAGAGUAGGUAGCCGCCGGGC
This 86-nucleotide ribosomal RNA is filed under the name Spirochaetes bacterium GWC2_52_13. RNAcentral also lists the same sequence under 2 other names. The record is from RNAcentral. Lineage: Bacteria; Pseudomonadati; Spirochaetota.